This 112-nucleotide unclassified non-coding RNA is filed under the name uncultured Ascomycota. RNAcentral describes it as "sequence contains ITS1". The record is from RNAcentral. Lineage: Eukaryota; Fungi; Ascomycota.
CUGAAUGGCUUCGGCCUUCAACCUUGUAAACCUGUGGAAGCAAUCCGUGCUUCGGCGCUCCGGCGCCGCAUUUAUGCAGCAAAGCAUUUGUCUGAAUCAAAAGCAAGAAUUA